Long non-coding RNA from Onychostoma macrolepis, 2027 nucleotides. RefSeq lists it as uncharacterized. NCBI's taxonomy places the organism in Eukaryota, Metazoa, Chordata, Actinopteri, Cypriniformes, Cyprinidae. The transcript has 4 exons. The record is from RefSeq and is a predicted model, not a curated record.
GUACCCUGUAUCGUCUGCCUGAAGGAAGUUUUUCAAAUUCAUUAAUCCAUGUUUAUGUAGACAGUGGACAUUUAUCUUUAAAAAAAGACCCCGACUCAGAGCAUGGAAAAGUUGUCAAUAAGUUAAAGUCUUGAGUCUUGUUCAUUAAUUCGUCAUUAACCAGACUUACAUUUCCUUGGGGUGCAUGUAGAACAUCAUAUAUUAUUCAUGAAAGUAAAUAACACAAAGUCAGAAUGCCGAGGAAAGUUAUGUUUUUAGGUUACCAGCUCCAGAAACAAUACUGCAAAACAUAAAACUAAGUUAUACACUUAAAUUUAAACUAUUAUCUCGGGAAAUAUUGUUCUCAUCGCUGUCUCUUUGCGAGCGGCCAUCUUGCCAAAAAAUAUCUCGUUUGAACAUCUCGCGUGGUUCUGUGUGAUUUGGACAACUUCAAGUUACGCCUCCUGCUACACGUUACGCCCCCUUCAAGUUACGCCCCUCUCUUGCAGUCCGCAGAUGCUAUUGGAGCGUAGAGGGACUUCCGCGCCACCGGAGACGUGAGCCGCCGAACCCGCGGUCCGGAAGAAGCUGCACCCGUGGAUGGUCGUCGAGCCAGGAUGCCGGGCCGUACAAGUCCCGCCGGACUCCGCGGAAGCCGCCGCUAUAAUAAAGUCGCCGCCUCUCGCGUCCCAGACCCGAGUGGGAGCGCGUGCUUCCGCCGGACUCCGCCCCUUACCUGGACCCUCCCUUCCAGAACACUGCCCUCGUUCUUUUGGACACUUUUUCUCCUUGGACACUUUAUUUUUAUUAUUUUUGUUUAAUAAAAGCCUCUCCGAGGCCUGACGCCACACCCACAAUAAUUUAGGUGUACAGUUGUAAUUGACCGAAUAGUAUGUUUUUCAGAUGUCUUUAGUACUUUUGGACCAUUGCUAGGCAUGGACAAAUAAUGUCCAUGUGGGUCAGUCAGCUCAUCAGAUGCUUGCUCCAUAGCAAAUAUCAAAAUCUAUUAAUCAGAUACAAAUGAAAUUUGUUAUGCAAAUUAAUUAUUUAAGGGCCGUUGAUUUGGUCAGUUUUGGUCUUAUAACCUUUCCUCUGCUUUCACCAUCAGGGCAAAUUUUCAGCUUUGUACAGAGCUUGUGUUGUUCUAAGAAAUGUGUCCUUAAACCAUGACCAAACAAGAUGUACAACUAAUGUGUUAUACUGUAUCUACAGGAGACCUGGGCAAGCAUGGUGAAGGACCCCCAUACCAGCUAUUCUCAAAGAAAUUUUCAAAGAUUUAGAAGAAAAAAACCCAGAAUUUCACAAAGGACAACAAGACACAAGCAAUUAUGGAAAAGAAUCAGUGGGACUUGAAGAAAAUUUGUUUUAAAGGAAGACGACUGACCAGACUUGACGACUUCAUAAGGACCUACAGAGACACGCACACUGCACUUCUAAGGGAAUUUAAUGAGUCAACAUUGUUGUAUUUCAAUGUGUCUUAGAACACCAUAUCCUGAAGGAGAAGUGGAGGCAGCGAAAGCAAAAUAGGAGAGGAGUCUGUUACCUCCAUCAAAAAGCCAUUCCAUUUAAAAAAAAAAACAGCGGUCACAUGAAGCACAUUUGGAUACAUUACUUAACAAAGAUUUAAAAUACAUUUCUAAUUUCAAAUGUCUUUCCUGAAAUAAAGCAGGUGUCUGCAGCCCCACGGUCAACAAGCACACCUUCUCCUCACAGACAGAUACCAUUAGUAGCAGCAGAAGACCCAAAGACAGACAAAGAUGCUUCUGAGCCCUGUCCAGUUGGUGGCGAGUGCGCUCCAGUGAGGCAGCAGAGCGCGCGAUCGUCUCCAGAACAAAAAUAAAGGUAUUUUGCUGUCUUUGAUUACUCACAGGCGAAUAUAGUAAAGCGAAUCGCUUGAUCUGAGGUGUCUACAGCGAUCUAUCACGCCACAUUAAAGAGCGCCAAAACGGUAUUUAUUGCUUGAAUUUCCUAAUAAAAUGGACAGAAUUUGAAACCUGAGACUGCAUUUCAUAUCAAAAGUAACACACAAAGUUUAGCCGAUUGUCUAA